GGAUAUUUAACACUAGUUGCUAAAACAACAAACCCCAAAAUAAAUCUCAGUGGUUCAACACAACAGAAGUUUACUUCUCACUGCUUCGCAGUUCCAUAAAUGUCAACUGGAUCAAGUGGGUAGCUCCUCACCAAGGAUUUACUUGGGAACCCAGCCUCCGUACAUCAUGUGGCUCUACUGUCACAGUGUUCUUGUCUCUCAUCCAUGUGGCCACAGGAGAGAGAGUGUUUAUGACAUCAGAGAGAAGGACCAUGCAUUCUCUCUCCUCUUUCCUUUUCUCUUUCCCUCUUUCUCCCCACUCUUUCCUUGCUUCCCUACCUUUAUCCAUCUUCCCUCCCUCCAUUCUUUCUGCAUAUUUACUGAGUAUCCUGGCAGAAACAAUGCUGUAUUUUGUCUGCUGUGUGAGAGAGCGAUCUGUGAGAUGUAUAAGCAGAAGCAAGCGAAUCCUGCAUCCUGGAUGCCCACUUCCAACCUAACUGUCUUGCUCACCCUCCAUCCCAGAUGUUGCAUUCUUGCUGGUGUGAUUCUUCAUUUUUUGUCCCAAAGGCUGGGAUGCCCAGAGUCACCUUCUCUGGUUUAUUCUACUCUACGGCAUCGGGAUGCCCAGCUUGAAUGUGUGAUCCUCUGGGAAGUCUUCCUUGAUCCUGCUUAGCCAAACAUGAUCUCUCCCUCUACCUGCCUUCUGCUGUCCCCUUGGCCCUUUUCAACCUUGUAUUACAACAAGGAUAUAUGCAUCUCAUCUAUCCUGUAAGAUUUUGCAGGAGAAGAAGUAGGCACUGUAGUAAUUAAAUGGACUUUGGAGGCAGACAAACUGGGAUAAACAUGAUGGUUCUGCUACUUACAAGCUCCAUGACUUCAGGCAAGUGACGCAGACUCUCCAACUCUUGGCUACAACAUGGAGGCUAUAACAAUGACAUCAGAGGUGCCAUGGGUGCCAAAUAAGACAGAGGAUGGAAACAGCUUAGCAGCACAGUGUCAGACACACAAGAGGCUAGCACAUAGCAGGUGUUACUACCUUUUAUUAAAAAAAAAACAUGGAUUUGUAUCCCAGCUCCCCCUCCUACUUUGACUUCAGCUAUCUCCUUGAACCUCGGUUUCUUAAUCCUUAGAACAAGGGUCAUAAUACUUCCCUGAUAAGGCUUGAGGUUAAAAGACAUCAUAUAUAAACUGCAUAGUGCAGUAAAGUAGACAUAAGGUAGGUAUUCAUUAAAUUAUGGAGUGAAUUAAUAAAUUAAUAAAUGGGAAUAAUGGCA
RNAcentral lists this long non-coding RNA (1253 nucleotides) under Vulpes vulpes (red fox). RNAcentral describes it as "lncRNA (ENSVVUG00000023528.1)". The record is from RNAcentral. Lineage: Eukaryota; Metazoa; Chordata; Mammalia; Carnivora; Canidae.